GUGUCAGCAGCCGCGGUAAAACGUAGGAGACAAACGUUAUCCGGAGUUACUGGGCGUAAAGGGCGUGCAGGCGGUCUGUUAAGUUCGGCGUGAAAGCUCCCGGCUAAACCGGGAUAGGUCGUCGGAUACUGGCAGACUAGAGGACAGUAGAGGCGGGUGGAAUUCCGGGUGUAGUGGUGAAAUGCGUAGAGAUCCGGAGGAACACCAGUGGCGAAGGCGACCCGCUGGGCUGUACCUGACGCUAAAACGCGACAGCAUGGGGAGCGAACGGGAUUAGAUACCCUCGUAGUCC
Molecule: ribosomal RNA, 292 nt
Filed under: uncultured bacterium
Lineage: Bacteria
Description: partial 16S ribosomal RNA
Rfam family: Bacterial small subunit ribosomal RNA
Source: RNAcentral